GAGUUUGAUCCUGGCUCAGGACGAACGCUGGCGGCGUGCCUAAUACAUGCAAGUCGAGCGAGUCUCUUCGGAGGCUAGCGGCGGACGGGUGAGUAACACGUAGGCAACCUGCCUCUCAGACCGGGAUAACAUAGGGGAAACUUAUGCUAAUACCGGAUAGGUUUUUGGAUUGCAUGAUCCGAAAAGAAAGAUGGCUUUUCGCUAUCACUGGGAGAUGGGCCUGCGGCGCAUUAGCUAGUUGGUGGGGUAACGGCUACCAAGGCGACGAUGCGUAGCCGACCUGAGAGGGUGACCGGCCACACUGGGACUGAGACACGGCCCAGACUCCUACGGGAGGCAGCAGUAGGGAAUUUUCCACAAUGGACGAAAGUCUGAUGGAGCAACGCCGCGUGAACGAUGAAGUCUUCGGAUUGUAAAGUUCUGUUGUCAGGGACGAACACGUACCGUUCGAAUAGGGCGGUACCUUGACGGUACCUGACGAGAAAGCCACGGCUAACUACGUGCCAGCAGCCG
Molecule: ribosomal RNA, 513 nt
Filed under: uncultured microorganism
Description: bacterial SSU rRNA
Rfam family: Bacterial small subunit ribosomal RNA
Source: RNAcentral